This 253-nucleotide ribosomal RNA is filed under the name uncultured bacterium. RNAcentral's name for it is "partial 16S ribosomal RNA". It matches the Rfam family "Bacterial small subunit ribosomal RNA", at positions 524 to 776 of the family's 1533-position model. The record is from RNAcentral.
UACGUAGGGUGCAAGCGUUGUCCGGAAUUAUUGGGCGUAAAGAGCUCGUAGGCGGUUUGUCGCGUCUGCUGUGAAAAUCCGGGGCUCAACCCCGGACUUGCAGUGGGUACGGGCAGACUAGAGUGUGGUAGGGGAGACUGGAAUUCCUGGUGUAGCGGUGGAAUGCGCAGAUAUCAGGAGGAACACCGGUGGCGAAGGCGGGUCUCUGGGCAGUAACUGACGCUGAGGAGCGAAAGCGUGGGGAGCGAACAGG